Molecule: long non-coding RNA, 1022 nt
Organism: Manis pentadactyla (Chinese pangolin)
Lineage: Eukaryota; Metazoa; Chordata; Mammalia; Pholidota; Manidae
Exons: 7
Source: RefSeq, a predicted model, not a curated record
AUCCCAUUCAGCCCUCAGUCCCCACUAGUUUCCUUGGAUCCCCUCGGAGGCCUUCCCGCCGGGUCUGUGGGACUUUACCACACCACUUUGGCAUAACACAUCCAAGACGAUACCCAAUCCAGCAGGCCCAGUAUUCCUGUGUGCUUCCCACGCUGUGCCGGAAUGGAGGUCACAGGAAGCAUGUGCUGUCUCGUGGUAAUUCCAGAGUGGUGUGCAGGCCUUUGACAAUGAGGAACGCUCCUCCCGGGAGCAACCUGGCUCAUUUUCCAAUGUAAGCAUUGGUGGAGGAACAGACUCCCAGUGUGUCCACUUUAUUCUCCUGCAGUUGUUCAUCUGAGAGAAUAACUAACUCAAAGGAAAGGAAGAAGCUCCUUAUGUGAGGGAGAAAUCUCAAGUUCCAGUUAUUGAGGAGUUUUUUAUUUUCUGGGUUUUUCCCAAGACUGUAGCUUAACAGCUAAGUUUGUGUGAAGCAGCGCAGAUCCCUAAGGCCCCAGACCCGUGGUCAAAGGAGGCUGUUCUGAGGGCCCUCGAACGUUGGAAGAGGAAGAAAAGGACAGUGGAGGAGGAGGAAGACCAAACAUCUGCUGGUCAGGAGGACAAAAGAAGGUGCCAUGACAGCAGUGGGAGUGGCCAUUCAGCUUUUAAGCCCGAGGUGGCCAACGGAGUCCCUGCUGCUUUUGUGCCUGAGCCUGGGCCUCUGAAGAGAGGCCUCAGUUCCCAGAGCUCAGAUGGCAAGCUGCGUAAGAGAACCUGCACCUCUGCUGUGAGCUGCUCGAAGGGCACGUGUGCAUGUGGCAUCCGUAUGUCCAGCCGCAAUGCCAUUACCAGUUCCUACACUUCUACUGGAGGCAUCUCUCAGCUCUGGAAGAGGCGUCCCAGUGCCUCACCCUUCUCCAGCCCAGCCUCGUCCGGCUCUCAGACACGAGAGAGUCCAGAAAAGAAAAUGAGAGAAGAGGACGGUCCUCAGGGAUCUGGCUCUUCCUCUCCGCCGGUAAACAAGGAGUCCCAGGGAGAACAGGGUA